RNAcentral lists this ribosomal RNA (380 nucleotides) under uncultured cyanobacterium. Its description in RNAcentral is "bacterial SSU rRNA". It matches the Rfam family "Bacterial small subunit ribosomal RNA", at positions 376 to 770 of the family's 1533-position model. The record is from RNAcentral. Lineage: Bacteria; Bacillati; Cyanobacteriota.
CGAAAGCCUGACGGAGUAAUACCGCGUGAGGGAGGAAGGCUCUUGGGUUGUAAACCUCUUUUCUCAAGGAAGAACACAAUGACGGUACUUGAGGAAUAAGCAUCGGCUAACUCCGUGCCAGCAGCCGCGGUAAUACGGAGGAUGCAAGCGUUAUUCGGAAUUAUUGGGCGUAAAGCGUCCGCAGGUGGUAAUUCAAGUCUGCUGUCAAAGACCGAAGCUUAACUUCGGAAAGGCGGUGGAAACUGGAUAACUAGAGUACUGUAGGGGUAGAGGGAAUUUCCAGUGUAGCGGUGAAAUGCGUAGAGAUUGGAAAGAACACCAGUGGCGAAGGCGCUCUACUGGACCGUAACUGACGCUCAGGGACGAAAGCUAGGGUAGCG